CCUAUCUCCAAAUAUAGUCAUGUUGGGUGUUAGGGCUUCAGUAUCUGAAUUUGGGGAGAACAUAAGUCCAUGACACAUGUGUACAAAACUUUCAUUGAGUAAGACCAUUUAAAGGGACCAAAAAUGGAUGAACAUACUUGGCACUAUGAACUAAAAGAUCUUUGGCUAAAGAAGAGAUGAAGACUCAUUCAACUCCUACAAGUGAAUUAAGGAGCUCUGAGAAGGCAAAGCCAGCCCAGGAGGGUGGACACACUAAGAACAAUGUGCCUUGUCCUGAUACACAGUUGUGGUAUAGGUAACAAAAUCUGAGUAUCCAACCUAAGAUGUUACCCCUCACCUCACCAGAAUACCUCCAAUCCCUUCCCUGGAAACACAGAAUAAAUUCCUAUAGAAAGUUAUAAAGCAGAAAAACAAGGUAUCUUUUGUGGAGUAAAGAAUGAUUAUGGAGGAAAAACACCAUUAACUGUCACAGAAAUAAUUGUGUCAUUCAGCAGAAUGGUAGCUCUAAGGAAGACAGCAGCAAUACUCAAGGUACAGCCAUUCUUCUGGAACAAGUCCCACCAAUCUGAAGCUGGAGUCAAUGGUGGUGACAGUGGUGACAUUGCAGAAAAGUAAGAAAGUUGAGGGAGGGAUUCAGGAGAAACAUGGCUGUUGGAAUUAGACACUCAAGAUCUAAACUAAAUGGGAUUAGUAAUGAUAAAA
RNAcentral lists this long non-coding RNA (702 nucleotides) under Homo sapiens (human). RNAcentral's name for it is "HSALNT0362040". Lineage: Eukaryota; Metazoa; Chordata; Mammalia; Primates; Hominidae. The record is from RNAcentral.